Molecule: long non-coding RNA, 11938 nt
Filed under: Gossypium barbadense (sea-island cotton)
Lineage: Eukaryota; Viridiplantae; Streptophyta; Magnoliopsida; Malvales; Malvaceae
Description: long non-coding RNA (GBAR_LNC021075)
Source: RNAcentral
AAAUAGUUGAAGUAUAUAUUUCCGGAAUUCAUGGCUUACAACAAUCAGGAAUGAAUUAACAUAUGAAAUGAUUAAUUCCUUUUUUUCACAUAAUUUUAUAGAAAAAAGGGAGAAGUUAAUGAUGUGCGUUUUCUAGUUGUGGUCAAUGAAAGAUGGGCGUUGUAUAAUGACUUCGACAUCGUUUUAGGUGUGAACAUCCUCUGUCAUAACCGUUUGAUGGUGGUGGGAGGCAAUUACCGCCUCCUAGUUUGCAUGGAACUUGAAGAUUUUUUCCCAGUCCCGGGUAGCUGAUUGGUGUCGCGUUUGCACCCUCUUCCAUCACCAUUGAGCUUAUUACCAAUGAACAAAUCCACAACACCAUGAUCUUCUUCUCCACUCCCAUUUUGUUCCAAGAAAUAUACAAUUAUUUAUUUAAUUAGAACUUUACACUAUCUUUCAAUCAAAAGUUUGGGUUUUUUAUCGCUUCAUGGUACUUGUAUAUUUAGUAAAAUGUUUAACCAUAAAUACAAGAUUUAAGCAUUUUUUAAGACAGUUUUAGUGAAUAAGAUGAUGAGUUCAUAACAGAAUUCCCUAGUCUCUUUCAACGCUAUUCAUCCUUUCCAAAAUUAUACAUGCAAUACUAGAUAAAAAAAUGACAUGUUAAAUGUCAGUUUUCUUUAUCAACUACCAAUUUGAGUAAUAUUUUUCAAUGAAAAUAUAAGGAAAUCUCCUCCCUUUCUUUUUCAACAAACUAUUACUAUCCCGUACAACUUUAAAAUCAGUUAUUUGACUAAUGGUAAAUGUACAAUUUUAUUUGAAAUAAUAAGUUAUUCACAUUUUCGUUGUUCUUAUUUCCUAAAGCAUGUGGUAAUCUGAUUGUGUCCGGAUUAAAUUUGGGUUAUAGUUUUAGGAGCUUACUAUUAUUAUUUUGUUUAUGCUAACUUUAGUUUUUAUUAUUUCUUCUAUUUUGUUUAUUAUUAGAAAUUCUAUCGUAUGCGUAUACUUGUGGAAAUUACAUAUUUACAAUAUGAAUGUUUUUAAAACUAACAAACAAUAAAUAAUGAAAUGUAUGGUUCAAAACUAAAAAUAAUAACAAACUUUAUGAGAGAAAACAUUUUGUGCUACAAAUCAAUUUUUUAGAAGUUUACUCAAGAAAUAUUAUUGAUGUAGUGGUAAAGAAUUUGUUUGUAGAUCCAUUAAACACAAGUACCAAUCCCCAAACAUGGUAAAUUUAGUUCUUUUAACUAAAAACUAUAUAAAUGUAUGAAAAUACAAAAAAGGCAUCAGAAUGAUAAUAAUAGUCAUUUAACUAAAUUGUUUAUAAGUAAUUCCCUAAGUUGUGACAGACCACAGCCCAACGUGUUGAUGUGUUGGCUAAAAACCACGCAAAUAAAAUAUGUAGAGUUAAGUGCGGUUUCUGCAGGUGAACAUGUCAACCUGCAAUAUAGUUUUCUUUACAAUUAAACACUUAUAAAGUAUUUCGAGGAUCGUAUCCAAGGGAUUAUUGAUUAAAGAAAAUGGCUAUUAAAUUAAUUACAGAAAUUAAGUACUAAUCUAGUCGAGUUAUAAAUUAGUAGUAUAAAUCCAAAACAAUAAUAAAAUUAACUAAUUAUUUUAACCGAAAACUAAAAGUAACCCUAAGUUAAUUAUUUGUUUCUCCUAUUCCUAGUUUCGACAACGUGAUCCUUCACAGCCAAGAAUCAAUUUUAACCCUAAUUAUUAAUUAAGUAGACAAGGACCUUUAAUUAAGUAUGUACUAACCUUAGCUAAGAAUACCUUCCCGGUUUCAUCUUCAUUAAGAAUUACAACCUAAGAUUCCUUUUUGGUCUUACCUAAGCAUACGGAUACCCUUUUGUUCUCACUGCUUGGUACAAGUUCUACUCAAUUGGAUACCCUCUCAGUCUCACUUGUCUAGAUCUUCUACUAUAGGUGUCACUUCCUAGUAUAUUAAGUACUUUCGAAUAAAAACUCAAUUUUAGGUUACUAUUUAUUUAAUCAAUUAAUUAAUGAAAUAAUCAAGUCAUUCAAAAUAAGUAUGGAGCCCAAAAUACAUUCCAAUAAUUAUAUAUACAUUCUAUUAAUAAAACUAUCAAAUGCAAUAUAAAUGAAAGAAUAAAGGGACGAGAAUGCUCGUUAAUUAAUCAUUGAAAUGGCACUAUUUCAAAACAUCAUUUGCUCGCGAUCGACUAACUUUGAGAGACAAGCAUGUAUUGGUCCAUCAAUUAAUUAGUUAGAGGCUAAGAGGUAAUAGCUGGUAAUUAAUAGCUAACUUGAUAAAACCUGAGUUCUGAAGUUAAUUAGGAACACUGAAAUGAAUUAAUCUUAUGCCUGCUUAAUUGAAUUUAAUUUAGAUUGUUAAAAUUGAUUGUCUUUAAUUUUUGUUAAUUUAUGUUUUUUUGAUUGAUUGCCUUUGAUUUAGUUUUUGGUAAUAUAAUAUUAGAUUACUACUAUUUAGCCUGGUUAGUGUAGCAUAUUAGUCUUGGUUCAAUUCAACCUCCCUUGGGUACGAUCCUCGGAAUAGAUCCCGAAGUGUUUCCUUGUAACAUUAUUCUAUAUUACAAUUUAACUCGUAUACUUGUUGACACACUACAUUAUUAAUUGGCUCUUUAGCUGUUGUAUUUGAAACCCAGACGUUCGCAACUCUGGUGGCAGUCAUUUGGCCAAAUGUUGACAGUUGGACAUGAAGAGUUUAAGAUGUACCCAUCAGUUGCAGGCUCCUUCGUGCGACCCAUGAAACUAGGGCAUGGGAACACCUAUAUCCAACAAACUCAUUGAAGUUAAUAAGACCUCCAUUGUUCGCACCGCUUUACUUAAAACUAUUUCUAUGUCACUUUUUCAUGAACGUAAGACAACUUAUAUGAAUUAGAAAAAAUAUUAAUAAGACCUUUGCUCAAAUUUUUAAAAAAAUAGUUGAAGUAUAUAUUUCCGGAAUUCAUGGCUUACAACAAUCAGGAAUGAAUUAACAUAUGAAAUGAUUAAUUCCUUUUUUUCACAUAAUUUUAUAGAAAAAAGGGAGAAGUUAAUGAUGUGCAUUUUCUAGUUGUGGUCAAUGAAAGAUGGGCGUUGUAUAAUGACUUCGACAUCGUUUUAGGUGAGAACAUCCUCUGUCAUAACCGUUUGAUGGUGGUGGGAGGCAAUUACCGCCUCCUAGUUUGCAUGGAACUUGAAGAUUUUUUCCCAGUCCCGGGUAGCUAAUUGGUGUCGCGUUUGCACCCUCUUCCAUCACCAUUGAGCUUAUUACCAAUGAACAAAUCCACAACACCAUGAUCUUCUUCUCCACUCCCAUUUUGUUCCAAGAAAUAUACAAUUAUUUAUUUAAUUAGAACUUUACACUAUCUUUCAAUCAAAAGUUUGGGUUUUUUAUCGCUUCAUGGUACUUGUAUAUUUAGUAAAAUGUUUAACCAUAAAUACAAGAUUUAAGCAUUUUUUAAGACAUUUUUAGUAAAUAAGAUGAUGAGUUCAUAACAGAAUUCCCUAGUCUCUUUCAACGCUAUUCAUCCUUUCCAAAAUUAUACAUGCAAUACUAGAUAAAAAAAUGACAUGUUAAAUGUCAGUUUUCUUUAUCAACUACCAAUUUGAGUAAUAUUUUUCAAUGAAAAUAUAAGGAAAUCUCCUCCCUUUCUUUUUCUACAAACUAUUACUAUCCCGUACAACAUUAAAAUCAGUUAUUUGACUAAAGGUAAAUGUACAAUUUUAUUUGAAAUAAUAAGUUAUCCACAUUUUCGUUGUUCUAAUUUCCUAAAGCAUGUGGUAAUCCGAUUGUGUCCGAUUGUGUCCGGGUUAAAUUUGGGUUAUAGUUUUAGGAGCUUACUAUUAUUAUUUUGUUUAUGCUAACUUUAGUUUUUAUUAUUUCUUCUAUUUUGUUUAUUAUUAUAAAUUCUAUCGUAUGCGUAUACUUGUGGAAAUUACAUAUUUACAAUAUGAAUGUUUUUAAAACUAACAAACAAUAAAUAAUGAAAUGUAUGGUUCAAAACUAAAAAUAAUAACAAACUUUAUGAGAGAAAACAUUUUGUGUUAAAAAUCAAUUUUUUUGAAGUUUACUCAAGAAAUAUUAUUGAUGUAGUGGUAAAGAAUUUAUCUGUAGAUCCAUUAAACACAAGUACCAAUCCCCAAACAUGGUAAAUUUAUUUCUUUUAACUAAAAACUAUAUAAAUGUAUGAAAAUACGAAAAAGGCAUCAGAAUGAUAAUAAUAGUCAUUUAACUAAAUGGUUUAUAAGUAAUUCCCUAAGUUGUGACAGACCACAGCCCAACGUGUGGAUGUGUUGGCUAAAAACCACGCAAAUAAAAUAUGUAGAGUUAAGUGCGGUUUCUGCAGGUGAACAUGUCAACUUGCAAUAUAGUUUUCUUUACAAUGAAACACUUAUAAAGUAUUUCGAGGAUCGUACCCAAGGGAUUAUUGAUUAAAGAAAAUGGCUAUUAAAUUAAUUACAGAAAUUAAGUACUAAUCUAGUCGAGUUAUAAAUUAGUCGUAUAAAUCCAAAACAAUAAUAAAAUUAACUAAUUAUUUUAACCGAAAACUAAAAGUAACCCUAAGUUAAUUAUUUCUUUCUCCUAUUCCUAGUUUCGACAACGUGAGCCUUCUCAGCCAAGAAUCAAUUUUAACCCUAAUUAUUAAUUAAGUAGACAAGGACCUUUAAUUAAGUAUGUACUAACCUUAGCUAAGAAUACCUUCCCGGUUUCAUCUUCAUUAAGAAUUACAACCUAAGAUUCCUUUUUGGUCUUACCUAAGCAUACGGAUACCCUUUUGUUCUCACUGCUUGGUACAAGUUCUACUCAAUAGGAUACCCUCUCAGUCUCACUUGUCUAGAUCAUCUACUAUAGGUGUCACUUCCUAGUAUAUUAAGUACUUUCGAAUAAAAACUAAAUUUUAGGCUACUAUUUAUUUAAUCAAUUAAUUACUGAAAUAAUCAAGUCAUUCAAAAUAAGUAUGAAGCCCAAAAUACAUUCCAAUAAUUAUAUAAACAUUCUAUUAAUAAAACUAUCAAAUACAAUAUAAAUGAAAGAAUAAAGGGACGAGAAUGCUCGUUAAUUAAUCAUUGAAAUGGCAAUAUUUCAAAACAUCCUUUGCUCGCGAUCGACUAACUUUGAGAGAGAAGCAUGUAUUGGCCCAUCAAUUAAUUAGUUAGAGGCUAAGAGGUAAUAGCUGGUAAUUAAUAGCUAACUUGAUAAAACCUGAGUUCUGAAGUUAAUUAGGAACACUGAAAUGAAUUAAUCUUAUGCCUGCUUAAUUUAAUUUAACUUCGAUUGUUAAAAUUGAUUGUCUUUAAUUUUUGUUAAUUUAUGUUUUUUUGAUUGAUUGCCUUUGAUUUAGUUUUUGGUAAUAUAAUAUUAGAUUACUACUAUUUAGCCUGGUUAGUGUAGAAUAUUAGUCUUGGUUCAAUUCAACCUCCUUUGGGUACGAUCCUCGGAAUAGAUCCCGAAGUGUUUCCUUGUAACAUUAUUCUAUAUUACAAUUUAACUCGUAUACUUGUUGACACACUACAUUAUUAAUUGGCUCUUUAGCUACGGUAUUUUCAACCCAGACAUUCGCACAUCUGGUGGCAGUCAUUUGGCCAAAUGUUGACAAUUGGACAUGAAGAGUUUAAGAUGUACACAUCAGUUGCAGGCUCCUUCGUGCGACCCAUGAAACUAGGGCAUGGGAACACCUAUAUCCAACAAACUCAUUGAAGUUAAUAAGACCUUCAUUGUUCACACCGCUUUACUUAAAACUAUUUCAAUGUCACUUUUUUAAGAACGUAAGACAACUUAUAUGAAUUAGAGAAAAUAUUAAUAAGACCUUUGCUCAAAUUUUUAAAAAAAUAGUUGAAGUAUAUAUUUCCGAAAUUCAUGGCUUACAACAAUCAGGAAUGAAUUAACUUAUGAAAUGAUUAAUUCCUUUUUUUUCUCAUAAUUUUAUAGAAAAAAGGGAGAAGUUAAUGAUGUGCGUUUUCUAGUUGUGGUCAAUGAAAGAUGGGCGUUGUAUAAUGACUUCGACAUCGUUUUAGGUGUGAACAUCCUCUGUCAUAACUGUUUGAUGGUGGUGGGAGGCAAUUACCGCCUCCUAGUUUGCAUGGAACUUGAAGAUUUUUUCCCAGUCCCGGGUAGCUGAUUGGUGUCGCGUUUGCACCCUCUUCCAUCACCAUUGAGCUUAUUACCAAUGAACAAAUCCACAACACCAUGAUCUUCUUCUCCACUCCCAUUUUGUUCCAAGAAAUAUACAAUUAUUUAUUUAAUUAGAACUUUACACUAUCUUUCAAUCAAAAGUUUGGGUUUUUUAUCGCUUCAUGGUACUUGUAUAUUUAGUAAAAUGUUUAACCAUAAAUACAAGAUUUAAGCAUUUUUUAAGACAGUUUUAGUAAAUAAGAUGAUGAGUUCAUAACAGAAUUCCCUAGUCUCUUUCAACGCUAUUCAUCCUUUCCAAAAUUAUACAUGCAAUACUAGAUAAAAAAUGACUUGUUAAAUGUCAGUUUUCUUUAUAAACUACCAAUUUGAAUAAUAUUUUUCAAUGAAAAUAUAAGGAAAUCUCCUCCCUUUCUUUUUCUACAAACUAUUACUAUCCCGUACAACUUUAAAAUCAUUUAUUUGACUAAUGGAAAAUCAACAAUUUUAUUUGAAAUAAUAAGUUAUCCACAUUUUCGUUGUUCUUAUUUCCUAAAGCAUGUGGUAAUCCGAUUGUGUCCGGGUGAAAUUUGGGUUAUAGUUUUAGGAGCUUACUAUUAUUAUUUUCUUUAUGCUAACUUUUGUUUUUAUUAUUUCUUCUAUUUUGUUUAUUAUUAGAAAUUCUAUCGUAUGCGUAUACUUGUGGAAAUUACAUAUUUACAAUAUGAAUGUUUUUAAAACUAACAAACAAUAAAUAAUGAAAUGUAUGGUUCAAAACUAAAAAUAAUAACAAACUUUGUGAGAGAAAACAUUUUGUGCUAAAAAUCAAUUUUUUAGAAGUUUACUCAAGAAAUAUUAUUGAUGUAGUGGUAAAGAAUUUGUUUGUAGAUCCAUUAAACACAAGUUCCAAUCCCCAAACAUGGUAAAUUUAGUUCUUUUAACUAAAAACUAUAUAAAUCUAUGAAAGUACAAAAAGGGCAUCAAAAUGAUAAUAAUAGUCAUCUAACUAAAUGGUUUAUUAGUAAUUCCCUAAGUUGUGACAGACCACAGCCCAACGUGUGAAUGUGUUGGCUAAAAAUCACGCAAAUAAAAUAUGUAGAGUUAACUGCGGUUUCUGCAGGUGAACAUGUCAACUUGCAAUAUUGUUUUCUUUGCAAUGAAACACUUAUAAAGUAUUUCGAGGAUCGUACCCAAGGGAUUAUUGAUUAAAGAAAAUGGCUAUUAAAUUAAUUACAGAAAUUAAGUACUAAUCUAGUCGAGUUACAAAUUAGUAGUAUAAAUCCAAAACAAUAAUAAAAUUAACUAAUUAUUUUAACCGAAAACUAAAUGUAACCGUAAAUUAAUUAUUUGUUUCUCCUAUUCCUAGUUUCGACAACGUGAGCCUUCUCAGCCAAGAAUCAAUUCUAACCCUAAUUAUUAAUUAAGUACACAAGAACCUUGAAUUAAGAAUGUACUAACCUUAGCGAAGAAUACCUUCCCGGUUUCAUCUUCAUUAAGAAUUACAACCUAAGAUUCCUUUUCGGUCUUACCUAAGCAUACGUAUACCCUUUUGUUCUCACAGCUUGGUACAAGUUCUACUCAAUAGGAUACCCUCUCAGUCUCACUUGUCUAGAUCUUCUACUAUAGGUGUCACUUCCUAGUAUAUUAAGUACUUUCGAAUAAAAACUCAAUUUUAGGUUACUAUUAAUUUAAUCAAUUAAUUAAUGAAAUAAUCAAGUCAUUCAAAAAAAGUAAGAAGCCCAAAAUACAUUCCAAUAAUUAUAUAAACAUUCUAUUAAUAAAACUAUCAAAUGCAAUAUAAAUGAAAGAAUAAAGGGACGAGAAUGCUCGUUAAUUAAUCAUUGAAAUGGCACUAUUUCAAAACAUCCUUUGCUCGCGAUCGACUAACUUUGAGAGACAAGCAUGUAUUGGUCCAUUAAUUAAUUAGUUAGAGGCUAAGAGGUAAUAGCUGGUAAUUAAUAGCUAACUUGAUAAAACCUGAGUUCUGAAGUUAAUUAGGAACACUGAAAUGAAUUAAUCUUAUGCCUGCUUAAUUGAAUUUAACUUCGAUUGUUAAAAUUGAUUGUCUUUAAUUUUUGUUAAUUUAUGUUUUUUUGAUUGAUUGCCUUUGAUUUAGUUUUUGGUAAUAUAAUAUUAGAUUACUACUAUUUAGCCUUGUUAGUGUAGAAUAUUAGUCUUGGUUCAAUUCAACCUCCCUUGGGUACGAUCCUCGGAAUAGAUCCUGAAGUGUUUCCUUGUAACAUUAUUCUAUAUUACAAUUUAACUCGUAUACUUGUUGACACACUACAUUAUUAAUUGGCUCUUUAGCUGCGGUAUUUUCAACCCAGACAUUCGCACAUCUGGUGGCAGUCAUUUGGCCAAAUGUUGACAAUUGGACAUGAAGAGUUUAAGAUGUACACAUCAGUUGCAGGCUCCUUUAUGCGACCCAUGAAACUAGGGCAUGGGAACACCUAUAUCCAACAAACUCAUUGAAGUUAAUAAGACCUCCAUUGUUCGCACCGCUUUACUUAAAACUAUUUCUAUGUCACUUUUUUAAGAAUGUAAGACAACUUAUAUGAAUUAGAGAAAAUAUUAAUAAGACCUUUGCUCAAAUUUUUAAAAAAAUAGUUGAAGUAUAUAUUUCCGGAAUUCAUGGCUUACAACAAUCAGGAAUGAAUUAACAGAUGAAAUGAUUAAUUCCUUUUUUUUCACAUAAUUUUAUAGAAAAAAGGGAGAAGUUAAUGCUGUGCAUUUUCUAGUUUUGGUCAAUGAAAGAUGGGCGCUGUAUAGUGACUUCGACAUCGUUUUUGGUGUGAACAUCCUCUGUCAUAACCGUUUGAUGGUUGUGGGAGGCAAUUACCGCCUCCUGGUUUGCAUGGAACUUGAAGAUUUUUUCCCAGUCCCGGGUAGCUGAUUGGUGUCGCGUUUGCACCCUCUUCCAUCACCAUUGAGCUUAUUUCCAAUGAACAAAUCCACACCACCAUGAUCUUCUUCUCCACUCCCAUUUUGUUCCAAGAAAUAUACAAUUAUUUAUUUAAUUAGAACUUUACACUAUCUUUCAAUCAAAAGUUUGGGUUUUUUAUCGCUUCGUGGUACUUGUAUAUUUAGUAAAAUGUUUAACCAUAAAUACAAGAUUUAAGCAUUUUUUGUGACAUUUUUAGUAAAUAAGAUGAUGAGUUCAUAGCAGAAUUCCCUAGUCUCUUUCAACGCUAUUCAUCCUUUCCAAAAUUAUACAUGCAAUACUAGAUAAAAAAAAUGACAUGUUAAAAGUUAGUUUUCUUUAUCAACUACCAAUUUGAGUAAUAUUUUUCAAUGAAAAUAUAAGGAAAUCUCCUCCCUUUCUUUUUCUACAAACUAUUACUAUCCCGUACAACAUUAAAAUCAGUUAUUUGACUAAAGGUAAAUGUACAAUUUUAUUUGAAAUAAUAAGUUAUCCACAUUUUCGUUGUUCUUAUUUCCUAAAGCAUGUGGUAAUCCGAUUGUGUCCGAUUGUGUCCGGGUUAAAUUUGGGUUAUAGUUUUAGGAGCUUACUAUUAUUAUUUUGUUUAUGCUAACUUUAGUUUUUAUUAUUUCUUCUAUUUUGUUUAUUAUUAGAAAUUCUAUCGUAUGCAUAUACUUGUGGAAAUUACAUAUUUACAAUAUGAAUGUUUUUAAAACUAACAAACAAUAAAUAAUGAAAUGUAUGGUUCAAAACUAAAAAUAAUAACAAACUUUGUGAGAGAAAACAUUUUGUGCUAAAAAUCAAUUUUUUAGAAGUUUACUCAAGAAAUAUUAUUGAUGUAGUGGUAAAGAAUUUGUUUGUAGAUCCAUUAAACACAAGUUCCAAUCCCCAAACAUGGUAAAUUUAGUUCUUUUAACUAAAAACUAUAUAAAUCUAUGAAAAUACAAAAAGGGCAUCAGAAUGAUAAUAAUAGACAUUUAACUAAAUGGUUUAUAAGUAAUUCCCUAAGUUGUGACAGACCACAGCCCAACGUGUGGAUGUGUUGGCUAAAAAUCACGCAAAUAAAAUAUGUAGAGUUAAGUGCGGUUUCUGCAGGUGAACAUGUCAACUUGCAAUAUUGUUUUGUUUGCAAUGAAACACUUAUAAAGUAUCUCGAGGAUCGUACCCAAGGGAUUAUUGAUUAAAGAAAAUGGCUAUUAAAUUAAUUACAGAAAUUAAGUACUAAUCUAGUCGAGUUACAAAUUAGUAGUAUAAAUCCAAAACAAUAAUAAAAUUAACUAAUUAUUUUAACCGAAAACUAAAUGUAACCGUAAAUUAAUUAUUUGUUUCUCCUAUUCCUAGUUUCGACAACGUGAGCCUUCCCAGCCAAGAAUCAAUUUUAACCCUAAUUAUUAAUUAAGUAGACAAGAACCUUUAAUUAAGUAUGUACUAACCUUAGCUAAGAAUUCCUUCUCGGUUUCAUCUUCAUUAAGAAUUACCACCUAAGAUUCCUUUUCGGUCUUACCUAAGCAUACGGAUACCCUUUUGUUCUCACUGCUUGGUACAAGUUCUACUCAAUAGGAUACCCUCUCAGUCUCACUUGUCUAGAUCUUCUACUAUAGGUGUCACUUCCUAGUAUAUUAAGUACUUUCGAAUAAAAACUCAAUUUUAGGUUACUAUUUAUUUAAUCAAUUAAUUAAUGAAAUAAUCAAGUCAUUCAAAAUAAGUAUGAAGCCCAAAAUACAUUCCAAUAUUUAUAUAAACAUUCAAUUAAUAAAACUAUCAAAUGCAAUAUAAAUGAAAGAAUAAAGGGACGAGAAUGCUCGUUAAUUAAUCAUUGAAAUGGCACUAUUUCAAAACAUCCUUUGCUCACGACCGACUAAUUUUGAGAGAAAAGCAUGUACUGGUCCAUUAAUUAAUUAGUUAGAGGCUAAGAGGUAAUAGCUGGUAAUUAAUAGCUACCUUGAUAAAACCUGAGUUCUGAAGUUAAUUAGGAACACUGAAAUGAUUUAAUCUUAUGCCUGCUUAAUUGAAUUUAAUUUCGAUUGUUAAAAUUGAUUGUCUUUAAUUUUUGUUAAUUUAUGUUAUUUUGAUUGAUUGCCUUUGAUUUUGUUUUUGGUAAUAUAAUAUUAGAUUACUACUAAUUAGCCUGAUUAGUGUAGAAUAUUAGUCUUGGUUCAAGUCAACCUCCCUUGGGUACGAUCGUAGGAAUAGAUCCCUAAGUGUUUCCUUGUAACAGUAUUCUAUAUUACAAUUUAACUCGUAUACUUGUUGGCACACUACAUUAUUAAUUGGCUCUUUAGCUGCGGUAUUUUCAACCCAGACGUUCGCACAGCUGGUCGCAGUCAUUUGGCCAAAUGUUGACAAUUGGACAUGAAGAGUUUAAGAUGUACACAUCAGUUGCAGGCUCCUUCGUGCGACCCAUGAAACUAGGGCAUGGGAACACCUAUAUCCAACAAACUCAUUGAAGUUAAUAAGACCUCCAUUGUUCGCACCGCUUUACUUAAAACUAUUUCUAUGUCACUUUUUCAAGAACGUAAGACAACUUAUAUGAAUUAGAGAAAAUAUUAAUAAGACCUUUGCUCAAAUUUUUAAAAAAAUAGUUGAAGUAUAUAUUUCCGGAAUUCAUGGCUUACAACAAUCAGGAAUGAAUUAACAUAUGAAAUGAUUAAUUCCUUUUUUUCACAUAAUUUUAUAGAAAAAAGGGAGAAGUUAAUGAUGUGCAGUUUCUAGUAGUGGUCAAUGAAAGAUGGGCGUUGUAUAGUGACUUCGACAUCGUUUUUGGUGUGAACAUCCUCUGUCAUAACCGUUUGAUGGUGGUGGGAGGCAAUUACCGCCUCCUAGUUUGCAUGGAACUUGAAGAUUUUUUCCCAGUCCCGGGUAGCUAAUUGGUGUCGCGUUUGCACCCUCUUCCAUCACCAUUGAGCUUAUUACCAAUGAACAAAUCCACAACACCAUGAUCUUCUUCUCCACUCCCAUUU